GACGAACGCUGGCGGCGUGCUUAACACAUGCAAGUCGAACGCUGAAGCUCAGCUUUUGUUGGGUGGAUGAGUGGCGAACGGGUGAGUAACACGUGAGUAACCUGCCCCCUUCUUUGGGAUAACGCCCGGAAACGGGUGCUAAUACUGGAUAUUCACUUCUCCUCGCGUGGGGGUUGGUGGAAAGGGCGUCUUUGGUGGGGGUUGCGCCCGCGGCCUAUCAGCUUGUUGGUGGGGUGAUGGGCUACCAAGGCUUUGACGGGGGGCCGGCCUGAGAGGGUGACCGGGAACUUUGGGACGGACAUGGGGCCUACGGUCCGACGCAGGGCAGCAGGGGGGACAAUUGCACAAAGGGCGAAAGCGUGAUGCCGCGACGGCGCGUGAGGGGUGGAGGCCGUCAGGUUGUGAACCUCUUUCGCAAAUGAUCAAGCCGCAACAAUGGUUGUGGUGACGGUAGUGGGUAAAGAAGCACCGGCUAACUACGUG
RNAcentral lists this ribosomal RNA (483 nucleotides) under uncultured bacterium. RNAcentral's name for it is "partial 16S ribosomal RNA". It matches the Rfam family "Bacterial small subunit ribosomal RNA", at positions 28 to 507 of the family's 1533-position model. The record is from RNAcentral.